Molecule: ribosomal RNA, 376 nt
Filed under: uncultured bacterium
Lineage: Bacteria
Description: bacterial SSU rRNA
Rfam family: Bacterial small subunit ribosomal RNA
Source: RNAcentral
GACGAACGUUGGCGGCGUGCCUAACACAUGCAAGUUGAGCGUGGCCUAGUUUACUAGGUCUAGCAGCGGACGGCUGAGUAAUGGACAGGAAUGUACCUCGAAGUGGGGGGAUAGCCCGUCGAAAGACGGGGUAAUACCGCAUAUGAUCGCAAGAUCAAAGCAGCAAUGCGCUUUGAGAGCAGCCUGUUUCCUAUCAGGUAGUUGGUGGGGUAAAAGCCUACCAAGCCUAUGACGGGUAGCUGGUCUGAGAGGAUGACCAGCCAGAUCGGGACUGAGACACGGCCCGAACUCCUACGGGAGGCAGCAGUUGGGAAUUUUGCACAAUGGACGAAAGUCUGAUGCAGCGACGCCGCGUGGAGGAUGAAGGUUUUCGGAC